CUGAUACUUACCUAAGGCUUGUCUCUUCUGGUACGAUACAGUAUUUGCAUGAGCUGGCACCACGUUUUUAUUAUCCAACUCAUCAUCUCCAUCUCCUUCUUCAUUAUCUGUAUCCCAAUCGGCAGUAGCACAAUAUGUCGCCCGGGCUGAAGCAAUCUGGGCUGUAGGAGUUUCAUCAUCCAAACCAUCAAAGGUCUCCAUAGUAGCAGAAGCAUGCCACUUAGCUGCAAGAGAUGUAACACCCUGCGCUUUGUGUGUGAUCUUAGCUGCGCUACGCAAGCAUAUAAAAAGCCCUGUUACCAAGGUGAUGGAGCAUAACUGCAACAAAGUUAUACAAGAUUAGUUAGUCAGGCAAUGUAUACAGUAGAGGUGGAAAUAUUUUGUAUGGACUGGCAUAAUCAUAGUUAGGUUACUCAAUAUAAUGUUAUGAGAUUAGUUAGUCGAGUAAUGAUAACUGCAAUAAAAUGAUAUGAGAAGUCAGUCAAGCAACAUAUAUAUGGCAUUAUCAUCAUAAAGUUACUCAUUACAAAGAAUUAAAGCAUGUUUUGGAGACAGUAGUACUGAACAUGCUUGGUAUUAUUAGAUCAUCAUUCAAUGGACAAGUAUUUUGACUAACUUGCUCGAGGGUCAGAGACUCCUUUUACAAUGUUUUCACACAUCAAAAAACCUCUCUAACACAGUUAUUGAGGAUAAACAAACUCAAAUCGUUGUACUUAACUCGAACAAGGCUCAAAGUGAAAUAAUAAGCAUCCUGGUGCAUCGAGGAGCUAGUACAGUGUGGGAAAUGAGUGGGAAUGACAGGUGACUUCCAUCGCUGCCUUUCAGCCUUUCUUAUCCUUUUGCAGCGAUUCAAGUAAAAAAGAGAAAGCUGAAUUGCAACAAUGGUAUGGAGCCACGUCCUAUCCAGCAUAAACCCGUACACUGUAAUUCCUGCUCUGUUGUGCUCAAAAUAUGUCACUGCACAAAUUUGCAACCAUAAUCAGCCGCAUGAGGUGCGUAUUUGAAGAUCUAUGACCAUUUUAACUUUUUAGAUUGCUGAUACUUACCUAAGGCUUGUCUCUUCUGGUACGAUACAGUAUUUGCAUGAGCUGGCACCACGUUUUUAUUAUCCAACUCAUCAUCUCCAUCUCCUUCUUCAUUAUCUGUAUCCCAAUCGGCAGUAGCACAAUAUGUCGCCCGGGCUGAAGCAAUCUGGGCUGUAGGAGUUUCAUCAUCCAAACCAUCAAAGGUCUCCAUAGUAGCAGAAGCAUGCCACUUAGCUGCAAGAGAUGUAACACCCUGCGCUUUGUGUGUGAUCUUAGCUGCGCUACGCAAGCAUAUAAAAAGCCCUGUUACCAAGGUGAUGGAGCAUAACUGCAACAAAGUUAUACAAGAUUAGUUAGUCAGGCAAUGUAUACAGUAGAGGUGGAAAUAUUUUGUAUGGACUGGCAUAAUCAUAGUUAGGUUACUCAAUAUAAUGUUAUGAGAUUAGUUAGUCGAGUAAUGAUAACUGCAAUAAAAUGAUAUGAGAAGUCAGUCAAGCAACAUAUAUAUGGCAUUAUCAUCAUAAAGUUACUCAUUACAAAGAAUUAAAGCAUGUUUUGGAGACAGUAGUACUGAACAUGCUUGGUAUUAUUAGAUCAUCAUUCAAUGGACAAGUAUUUUGACUAACUUGCUCGAGGGUCAGAGACUCCUUUUACAAUGUUUUCACACAUCAAAAAAUCUCUCUAACACGGUUAUUGAGGAUAAACAAACUCAAAUCCUUGUACUUAACUCGAACAAGGCUCAAAGUGAAAUAAUAAGCAUCCUGGUGCAUCGAGGAGCUAGUACAGUGUGGGAAAUGAGUGGGAAUGACAGGUGACUUCCAUCGCUGCCUUUCAGCCUUUCUUAUCCUUUUGCAGCGAUUCAAGUAAAAAUGGUGUCACAAUUGUCAUCAUCAAAUAUUAACACGUAAAACUAGUUUUUACAUCCAUGAAUAUGCCUCAAAUCUAGUAUAAUGUUUGAUGUGUUACUUGUCCAAUUGGCACAAGAUUCAACUUAAGUCUUACUUAAGUGAAAGGUCAGAGAUUCGAAUCCUGGGAAUGGGAUAGAAAUCUGUGAAGGGUAAGAUGAGCUUAGGCUCUUCUAGAGUGGACAAUACGUAAAUUAACUACUUGGGCAUAGAGGCAGAAUUGUUACACAAAGUAUACAACAGCGGUGGAAAUAUUUUAUAUGGAUUGGCAUAAUUAUAUUUAGGUUACUCAAUAAAAAGACACGAGAUUAGUUAGUCGAGCAAUGUAUAUAGGGCAAUCAUCAUAAGGUUACUCAUUACGAAGAAUUAAAACAUGUUUUGGAGACAAUAGUACUGAGCAUGCAUGGUAUUACAUAUUACAGUAUUAGACUAUCAUUAGGUGGACAAGUAUUUCGACUAACUUGCUUGAGUGCCAGGGACUCCUUUUACAAUGUUUUCACGCAUCAAAAAACCUCUAUAAGACAGUUAUUAAGGAUAAACAAACUAAAAAGCCUAGUGACCGAUAAACUUUGUGCUUAAGUUGAUCAAGGCUCAAAGUGAAAUAAUAAGCAUCCCAGCGCAUCGAGGGGUUAGUACGGUGUGGGAAAUGGGUGGGAAUGACAGGUUACUUCAUCAUUGCCUUUCAGCCUCUUAUCCUUUUGCAGCGAUUCAAGUGAAAAUGGAGUCAGAAUUGUCAUCAUCAAAUAUUAACACAUAAAACUAAUAUUUACAUACAUGAAAAUGCCUCAUAUCUAGUAUGACGGUGAUUGUAGUGCAAAUAAGAGCCAGAAGAUAAUAAAAGAUAUUGAAAAAUUCGAUUCUGCAUUUAUUCAGCAGCUACUUAUUAAUCAACAGGAACAAAGCUUGUGAUACAUAAAGGAAUGGAUGUUAAUUACCGC
RNAcentral lists this long non-coding RNA (2868 nucleotides) under Olea europaea (common olive). RNAcentral describes it as "long non-coding RNA (OEUR_LNC005016)". The record is from RNAcentral. Lineage: Eukaryota; Viridiplantae; Streptophyta; Magnoliopsida; Lamiales; Oleaceae.